Molecule: ribosomal RNA, 467 nt
Filed under: uncultured bacterium
Lineage: Bacteria
Description: bacterial SSU rRNA
Rfam family: Bacterial small subunit ribosomal RNA
Source: RNAcentral
AUCACUCCUACGGGAGGCAGCAGUGGGAAUAUUGCACAAUGGGCGCAAGCCUGAUGCAGCCAUUCCGCGUGUGUGAAGAAGGCCUUCGAGUUGUAAAGCACUUUCAGUAGGGAGGAAGGUAGUGUAGUUAACACCUGCAUUAUUUGACGUUAGCGACAGAAGAAGCACCGGCUAACUCCGUGCCAGCAGCCGCGGUAAUACGGAGGGUGCGAGCGUUAAUCGGAAUUACUGGGCGUAAAGCGCAUGCAGGUGGUUUGUUAAGUCAGAUGUGAAAGCCCGGGGCUCAACCUCGGAAUUGCAUUUGAAACUGGCAGACUAGAGUACUGUAGAGGGGGUAGAAUUUCAGGUGUAGCGGUGAAAUGCGUAGAGAUCUGAAGGAAUACCGGUGGCGAAGGCGGCCCCCUGGACAGAUACUGACACUCAGAUGCGAAAGCGUGGGGAGCAAACAGGAUUAGAUACCCUGGUAG